CGCGGGGUAGAGCAGUCAGGAAGCUCGUCGGGCCCAUAACCCGAAGGCCGUUGGUUCAAAUCCAACCCCCGCAA
RNAcentral lists this transfer RNA (74 nucleotides) under Candidatus Magasanikiibacteriota bacterium. Its description in RNAcentral is "tRNA-Met". It matches the Rfam family "tRNA". From Rfam's summary of the family: Transfer RNA (tRNA) molecules are approximately 80 nucleotides in length. RNAcentral also lists the same sequence under 1 other name. Lineage: Bacteria; Candidatus Magasanikiibacteriota. The record is from RNAcentral.